Molecule: long non-coding RNA, 473 nt
Filed under: Struthio camelus australis
Lineage: Eukaryota; Metazoa; Chordata; Aves; Struthioniformes; Struthionidae
Description: lncRNA (ENSSCUG00000001281.1)
Source: RNAcentral
CCCAGAAGGGGUUUGUGUGCCCAAAAGGGGUCAGGGUUCUCCAAAAGGGGUCUGGGUACCCAAAAGGGGUCUGGGUACCCAGAAGGGGUUUGUGUGCCCAAAAGGGGUCUGGGUUCCCCAAAAGGGGUCUGGGUACCCAAAAGGGAUCUGGAUCACCAAAAGGGGUCCAGGUUCCUCAAAAGGGGUCCAGGUACCCAAAAGGGGGGGGGGUUGGGUCCCCAAAAGAGGUCUGGGUCACCAAAAGGGGUCUGGGUCCUCAAAAGGGGUCUAGGUCCCCAGAAGGGGUUUGCAUGCCCAAAAGGGGUCUGGGUUCCCCAAAAGGGAUCUGGGAUCACCAAAAGGGGUCAGGGUUCUCCAAAAGGGGUCUGGAUUCUGAAAGGGGGGGGGUUGGGUCCCCAAAAGAGGUCUGGGUCACCAAAAGGGGUCUGAGUGCCCAAAAGGGGUCUGGGUCCCCAGAAGGGGUUUGCAUGCCC